RNAcentral lists this transfer RNA (72 nucleotides) under Camelus bactrianus (Bactrian camel). It matches the Rfam family "tRNA". From Rfam's summary of the family: Transfer RNA (tRNA) molecules are approximately 80 nucleotides in length. Their secondary structure includes four short double-helical elements and three loops (D, anti-codon, and T loops). Lineage: Eukaryota; Metazoa; Chordata; Mammalia; Artiodactyla; Camelidae. RNAcentral also lists the same sequence under 1 other name. The record is from Rfam by way of RNAcentral.
GGGGUUAUAGCUCAGUGGUAGAGCACAUGCUUAGCACGCAUGAGGUCCUGAAUUCAAUACUCAGUGCCUCCA